UCUAAUAUGGCAGAUUAGUGCAAUGGAUUUAAGCUUCAUAUAUAAAGAAUAACUUUUAUUAGAA
Molecule: transfer RNA, 64 nt
Filed under: Leptogaster cylindrica
Lineage: Eukaryota; Metazoa; Arthropoda; Insecta; Diptera; Asilidae
Description: tRNA-Leu
Source: RNAcentral